Molecule: microRNA precursor, 77 nt
Filed under: Myotis brandtii (Brandt's bat)
Lineage: Eukaryota; Metazoa; Chordata; Mammalia; Chiroptera; Vespertilionidae
Description: mir-9229 microRNA precursor family
Rfam family: mir-9229 microRNA precursor family
Source: Rfam by way of RNAcentral
GAGACACCCAGAUUGGGGAAGGACUUGCUUCAGUGGGGCUUUGAUGCUCACUGAGUCUGCCCCUUGAGUGUGUCGCU